GACGAACGCUGGCGGCGUGCUUAACACAUGCAAGUCGAACGGAAAGGCCCUGCUUUUGUGGGGUGCUCGAGUGGCGAACGGGUGAGUAACACGUGAGUAACCUGCCCUUGACUUUGGGAUAACUUCAGGAAACUGGGGCUAAUACCGGAUAGGAGCUCCUGCUGCAUGGUGGGGGUUGGAAAGUUUCGGCGGUGGGGGAUGGACUCGCGGCUUAUCAGCUUGUUGGUGGGGUAGUGGCUUACCAAGGCUUUGACGGGUAGCCGGCCUGAGAGGGUGACCGGCCACAUUGGGACUGAGAUACGGCCCAGACUCCUACGGGAGGCAGCAGUGGGGAAUAUUGCACAAUGGGCGGAAGCCUGAUGCAGCAACGCCGCGUGCGGGGUGACGGCCUUCGGGUUGUAAACCGCUUUCGCCUGUGACGAAGCGUGAGUGACGGUAAUGGGUAAAGAAGCACCGGCUAACUACGUG
This 468-nucleotide ribosomal RNA is filed under the name uncultured bacterium. Its description in RNAcentral is "partial 16S ribosomal RNA". It matches the Rfam family "Bacterial small subunit ribosomal RNA", at positions 28 to 507 of the family's 1533-position model. The record is from RNAcentral.